This 72-nucleotide transfer RNA is filed under the name Actinoallomurus bryophytorum. RNAcentral's name for it is "tRNA-Lys". Lineage: Bacteria; Bacillati; Actinomycetota; Actinomycetes; Streptosporangiales; Thermomonosporaceae. The record is from RNAcentral.
GCGCCGUGAGCAUGACAGGUGAUGCACCGGGCUCUUACCCCGGGGAACAGAGAUCGAGACUCUGACGGCGCA